RNAcentral lists this ribosomal RNA (253 nucleotides) under uncultured bacterium. RNAcentral's name for it is "partial 16S ribosomal RNA". It matches the Rfam family "Bacterial small subunit ribosomal RNA", at positions 524 to 776 of the family's 1533-position model. The record is from RNAcentral.
UACGGAGGGUGCAAGCGUUGUUCGGAAUGACUGGGCGUAAAGCGCACGUAGGUUGGUUUGUAUGUCAGAUGUGAAAUCCCUGGGCUCAACCUGGGGCGGCCAUUUGAAACUGCAAAUCUUGAAUGCUUCAGGGGUUGGUGGAAUUCUUGGUGUAGGAGUGAAAUCCGUAGAUAUCAAGAGGAACAUCGGAGGCGAAGGCGGCCAACUGGGGAUGCAUUGACACUGAGGUGCGAAAGCGUGGGGAGCAAACAGG